CCUACGGGAGGCAGCAGUGGGGAAUAUUGCACAAUGGGGGAAACCCUGAUGCAGCGACGCCGCGUGAGUGAAGAAGUAUUUCGUUAUGUAAAGCUCUAUCAGCAGGGAAGAAAAUGACGGUACCUGAGUAAGAAGCCCCGGCUAACUACGUGCCAGCAGCCGCGGUAAUACGUAGGGGACAAGCGUUAUCCGGAUUUACUGGGUGUAAAGGGAGCGUAGACGGCAGUACAAGUCUGGAGUGAAAUCCCGGGGCUGAACCCCCGAACUGCUCUGGAAACUGUACGGCUGGAGUGCAGGAGGGGUAAGUGGAAUUCCUAGUGUAGCGGUGAAAGGCGUAGAUAUUAGGAGGAACACCAGUGGCGAAGGCGGCUUACUGGACUGUAACUGACGUUGAGGCUCGAAAGCGUGGGGAGCAAACAGGAUUAGAUACCCUUGUAGUC
This 440-nucleotide ribosomal RNA is filed under the name uncultured bacterium. RNAcentral's name for it is "partial 16S ribosomal RNA". It matches the Rfam family "Bacterial small subunit ribosomal RNA", at positions 338 to 795 of the family's 1533-position model. The record is from RNAcentral.